CAUGUAGGCGGAUCAUCAAGUGUUUUGUGAAAUCCCUCGGCUUAACCGAGGAAUUGCUUGGCAAACUUCUGUUCUUGAGGCAAGUAGGGGUACAUGGAACUCUUGGUGGAGCGGUGGAAUGCGUAGAUAUCAAGAGGAACGCCGAUGGUGAAGACAGUGUACUAGGCUUGUCCUGACGCUGAGGUGCGAAAGCGUGGGGAGCGAACAGGAUUAGAUACCCUGGUAGUCC
This 229-nucleotide ribosomal RNA is filed under the name uncultured bacterium. Its description in RNAcentral is "partial 16S ribosomal RNA". It matches the Rfam family "Bacterial small subunit ribosomal RNA", at positions 568 to 796 of the family's 1533-position model. The record is from RNAcentral.